This 341-nucleotide non-coding RNA is filed under the name Pan troglodytes (chimpanzee). The record is from RNAcentral. Lineage: Eukaryota; Metazoa; Chordata; Mammalia; Primates; Hominidae.
GCUUUGCUAAGUAAGAUGUUUACUGGAGUACAUUUCUCUCCUGAUAUCAGAGAUGCGGCUGCCCCAAGCACAUUUAGAAGGUGCACUCUUGGUACAAAAGUUAAGGUUUGUUCUCUUCCGCCUGCAAAACUACAGCCAGCAACUAGAGGUGAUACCUGAAUGUAUCCGGAUUGACGAUCUUCAUCCCUGGAAAACAUGACUCCCAGAAUCCAGCGGUGGGGGAGGGGGGGGUCGCAUGGCGGGAGAACAGCUCCUCCCAGUGUGCCUCAACACAGGGCAUCCAACACCCACUUGUCACUCCCAAGGCUGACUGAUGAAUAAUGUUCCCAAGUCUCGCUGCA